UACGGAGGGAGCUAGCGUUAUUCGGAAUUACUGGGCGUAAAGCGCACGUAGGCGGCUUUGUACGUUAGAGGUGAAAGCCUGGAGCUCAACUCCAGAAUUGCCUUUAAGACUGCAUCGCUCGAGUCCGGGAGAGGUGAGUGGAAUUCCGAGUGUAGAGGUGAAAUGCGUAGAUAUUCGGAAGAACACCAGUGGCGAAGGCGGCUCACUGGGCCGGCACUGACGCUGAGGUGCGAAAGCGUGGGGAGCAAACAGG
RNAcentral lists this ribosomal RNA (253 nucleotides) under uncultured bacterium. RNAcentral describes it as "partial 16S ribosomal RNA". It matches the Rfam family "Bacterial small subunit ribosomal RNA", at positions 524 to 776 of the family's 1533-position model. The record is from RNAcentral.